GACAGAGGAUGCAAGCGUUAUCCGGAAUGAUUGGGCGUAAAGCGUCUGUAGGUGGCUUUUUAAGUCCGCCGUCAAAUCCCAGGGCUCAACCCUGGACAGGCGGUGGAAACUACCAAGCUGGAGUACGGUAGGGGCAGAGGGAAUUUCCGGUGGAGCGGUGAAAUGCGUAGAUAUCUGGAGGAACACCGGUGGCGAAGGCGGCAUCCUGGACCAACACUGACACUGAUGAGCGAAAGCCAGGGGAGCAAACGGG
Molecule: ribosomal RNA, 253 nt
Filed under: uncultured bacterium
Lineage: Bacteria
Description: partial 16S ribosomal RNA
Rfam family: Bacterial small subunit ribosomal RNA
Source: RNAcentral